UGCGUAGGCGGAUUAACAAGUCAGUGGUGAAAACCUGCAGCUUAACUGUAGAACUGCCAUUGAUACUGUUAGUCUUGAGUACGGUCAAGGUAGGCGGAAUGUGUAAUGUAGCGGUGAAAUGCUUAGAUAUUACACAGAACACCGAUUGCGAAGGCAGCUUACUGGACCAUUACUGACGCUGAGGCACGAAAGCGUGGGGAGCGAACAGGAUUAGAUACCCUGGUAGUCC
RNAcentral lists this ribosomal RNA (229 nucleotides) under uncultured bacterium. Its description in RNAcentral is "partial 16S ribosomal RNA". It matches the Rfam family "Bacterial small subunit ribosomal RNA", at positions 568 to 796 of the family's 1533-position model. The record is from RNAcentral.